Molecule: ribosomal RNA, 497 nt
Filed under: uncultured bacterium
Lineage: Bacteria
Description: partial 16S ribosomal RNA
Rfam family: Bacterial small subunit ribosomal RNA
Source: RNAcentral
GAUGAACGCUGGCGGCGUGCCUAAUACAUGCAAGUCGAGCGAACAGACGAGGAGCUUGCUCCUCUGACGUUAGCGGCGGACGGGUGAGUAACACGUGGAUAACCUACCUAUAAGACUGGGAUAACUUCGGGAAACCGGAGCUAAUACCGGAUAAUAUAUUGAACCGCAUGGUUCAAUAGUGAAGGACGGUUUUGCUGUCACUUAUAGAUGGAUCCGCGCCGCAUUAGCUAGUUGGUAAGGUAACGGCUUACUAAGGCGACGAUGCGUAGCCGACCUGAGAGGGUGAUCGGCCACACUGGAACUGAGACACGGUCCAGACUCCUACGGGAGGCAGCAGUAGGGAAUCUUCCGCAAUGGGCGAAAGCCUGACGGAGCAACGCCGCGUGAGUGAUGAAGGUCUUCGGAUCGUAAAACUCUGUUAUUAGGGAAGAACAAAUGUGUAAGUAACUAUGCACGUCUUGACGGUACCUAAUCAGAAAGCCACGGCUAACUACGUG